GAUCCUGGCUCAGGACGAACGCUGGCGGCGUGCUUCAUACAUGCAAGUCGAACGCGAAUCGGUAGCUUGCUACCGAGGAAAGUGGCGGACGGGUGAGUAAUGUGUAGAGAAUCUGCCCUAGAGCGGGGGACAACAGCUGGAAACGGUUGCUAAUACCCCAUAUGAGCGUAUCUGAAAUGGUAUUCUUGAAAACUCCGGUGCUCUAGGAUGAGUCUGCAUCUGAUUAGCUAGG
Molecule: ribosomal RNA, 232 nt
Filed under: uncultured bacterium
Lineage: Bacteria
Description: partial 16S ribosomal RNA
Rfam family: Bacterial small subunit ribosomal RNA
Source: RNAcentral